AUUGAACGCUGGCGGCAUGCUUUACACAUGCAAGUCGAACGGUAACAGGCCUUCGGGUGCUGACGAGUGGCGAACGGGUGAGUAAUGCAUCGGAACGUACCCAGAGGUGGGGGAUAACGCAGCGAAAGCUGUGCUAAUACCGCAUGUGAUCUGAGGAUGAAAGCGGGGGACCGAGCAGCAAUGUUUGGCCUCGCGCCUUUGUAGCGGCCGAUGUCGGAUUAGCUAGUUGGUGGGGUAAAGGCCUACCAAGGCGACGAUCCGUAGCUGGUCUGAGAGGACGACCAGCCACACUGGGACUGAGACACGGCCCAGACUCCUACGGGAGGCAGCAGUGGGGAAUUUUGGACAAUGGGCGCAAGCCUGAUCCAGCAAUGCCGCGUGCGGGAAGAAGGCCUUCGGGUUGUAAACCGCUUUUGGCAGGAACGAAACGGUGUCCGCUAAUACCGGGCGCUAAUGACGGUACCGGCAGAAUAAGCACCGGCUAACUACGUG
Molecule: ribosomal RNA, 492 nt
Filed under: uncultured bacterium
Lineage: Bacteria
Description: partial 16S ribosomal RNA
Rfam family: Bacterial small subunit ribosomal RNA
Source: RNAcentral